This 193-nucleotide ribosomal RNA is filed under the name uncultured bacterium. RNAcentral's name for it is "partial 16S ribosomal RNA". It matches the Rfam family "Bacterial small subunit ribosomal RNA", at positions 328 to 540 of the family's 1533-position model. The record is from RNAcentral.
ACGCUCGACACCUACGGGUGGCAGCAGUGGGGAAUAUUGCACAAUGGGGGAAACCCUGAUGCAGCAACGCCGCGUGAAGGAAGACGGUUUUCGGAUUGUAAACUUCUGUUCUUAGUGAAGAUAGUGACGGUAGCUAAGGAGCAAGCCACGGCUAACUACGUGCCGNNGCGCGUAUNUGAGCGGCGUGCGAGNG